UACGGAGGAUGCGAGCGUUAUCCGGAUUUAUUGGGUUUAAAGGGUGCGUAGGCGGGCUUUUAAGUCAGCGGUAAAAAUUCGGGGCUCAACCCCGUCCGGCCGUUGAAACUGGGGGUCUUGAGUGGGCGGGAAGUACGCGGAAUGCGUGGUGUAGCGGUGAAAUGCAUAGAUAUCACGCAGAACUCCGAUUGCGAAGGCAGCGUACCGGCGCCCUACUGACGCUGAAGCACGAAGGCGUGGGUAUCGAACAGG
Molecule: ribosomal RNA, 252 nt
Filed under: uncultured bacterium
Lineage: Bacteria
Description: partial 16S ribosomal RNA
Rfam family: Bacterial small subunit ribosomal RNA
Source: RNAcentral